This 1814-nucleotide ribosomal RNA is filed under the name human gut metagenome. Its description in RNAcentral is "bacterial LSU rRNA". It matches the Rfam family "Bacterial large subunit ribosomal RNA", at positions 1100 to 2925 of the family's 2925-position model. The record is from RNAcentral.
GUUGGCUUAGAAGCAGCCACUCAUUUAAAGAGUGCGUAAUAGCUCACUAGUCGAGAGAUCCUGCGCCGAAAAUGUACCGGGGCUAAACUUACCACCGAAGCUACGGAUUUGCAAGUAAUUGCAAGUGGUAGGGGAGCGUCGUAAUCGGGCUGAAGUCGUACCGGAAGGAGCGGUGGACUGAUUACGAGUGAGAAUGUUGGCAUUAGUAGCGAGAUGUAGGUGAGAAUCCUACAGGCCGAAUAUCUAAGGUUUCCUCAGGAAGGCUCGUCCGCUGAGGGUUAGUCGGGACCUAAGCCGAGGCCGAAAGGCGUAGGCGAUGGACAAUCGGUUGAUAUUCCGAUACCACUACCAUCGUUAUUAUCGAGGGUGUGACGGAGAAGGAUAGUGUGUGCUAGCGAUUGGAAAUGCUAGUCUAAGCGUUUAGGGAGUUACGGUAGGCAAAUCCGCUGUAACAAUUCUGAGGCGUGAUGGGGAAGGUCAUUAAGACCGAAGUACAUGAUUCCAUGCUUCCAAGAAAAGCAUCUAGAGAGAGAAGUAGUGCCCGUACCGCAAACCGACACAGGUAGAUGAGGAGAGAAUCCUAAGGCCGGCGGAAGAAUUGCAGUUAAGGAACUAGGCAAAUUGACCCCGUAAGUUCGCGAGAAGGGGUGCCUGCGAGAGCAGGCCGCAGAGAAUAGGCCCAAGCAACUGUUUAGCAAAAACACAGGUCUCUGCUAAAGCGUAAGCUGAUGUAUAGGGGCUGACGCCUGCCCGGUGCUGGAAGGUUAAGGGGAACACUUAGCGCAAGCGAAGGUGUGAACUUAAGCCCCAGUAAACGGCGGCCGUAACUAUAACGGUCCUAAGGUAGCGAAAUUCCUUGUCAGGUAAGUUCUGACCCGCACGAAUGGCGUAAUGACUUGGGCACUGUCUCAACUGCAAAUCCGGCGAAGUUGUAGUGCGAGUGAAGAUGCUCGCUACCCGCGAUUGGACGGAAAGACCCCGUAGAGCUUUACUGUAGCUUAGCAUUGAAUUCCGGUAUUGUCUGUACAGGAUAGGUGGGAGACUGGGAAACUAGGGCGUCAGCCUUAGUGGAGUCAACCUUGGGAUACCACCCUGACAGUACUGGGGUUCUAACAGGACGCCAUGAAGCUGGUGACUGGACAUUGUUAGGUGGGCAGUUUGACUGGGGCGGUCGCCUCCUAAAAAGUAACGGAGGCGCCCAAAGGUUCCCUCAGAACGGUCGGAAAUCGUUCGUAGAGUGCAAAGGCAGAAGGGAGCCUGACUGCGAGACCCACAAGUCGAGCAGGGACGAAAGUCGGGCUUAGUGAUCCGGUGGUACCUCGUGGGAGGGCCAUCGCUCAACGGAUAAAAGCUACCUCGGGGAUAACAGGCUGAUCUCCCCCAAGAGUCCACAUCGACGGGGAGGUUUGGCACCUCGAUGUCGGCUCGUCGCAUCCUGGGGCUGUAGUAGGUCCCAAGGGUUGGGCUGUUCGCCCAUUAAAGCGGCACGCGAGCUGGGUUCAGAACGUCGUGAGACAGUUCGGUCCCUAUCCGUCGCGGGCGUAGGAAAUUUGAGAGGAGCUGUCCUUAGUACGAGAGGACCGGGAUGGACUGACCUCUGGUGCACCAGUUGUUCUGCCAAGAGCAUGGCUGGGUAGCUAAGUCGGGAAGGGAUAAACGCUGAAAGCAUCUAAGCGUGAAGCCCCCCUCAAGAUGAGAUUUCCCAUAGCAUAAGCUAGUAAGACCCCUUGAAGAACACAAGGUUGAUAGGUCAGAGGUGGAAGUGCGGUAACGUAUGUAGCUGACUGAUACUAAUAGGUCGAGGGCUUGACCAA